Molecule: ribosomal RNA, 321 nt
Filed under: Triticum aestivum (bread wheat)
Lineage: Eukaryota; Viridiplantae; Streptophyta; Magnoliopsida; Poales; Poaceae
Description: partial small subunit ribosomal RNA
Source: RNAcentral
AUGAUGGGUGUUUCUGUACCCAUGACCAUACUUACAGACCAAAACCGUGCCAUGGAGCUGUCUAUCAUAAAUAUUAUGCCAGGGACAACACACAGAUGGUGCAAAUGGCACAUUUUGACGAAGGCCAAGGAGUCGUUGAGUCCUUUGUACACAAAGAAAAGCGACUUCAGGAGGUCGAACAGCUGGUGUAGGUGUUCAAACAACUUUGGAUGUCAGUCAGAGUGGUGUUAUCAGAGUAUCACGCGUUGCAAGGCAUACACGCAUGGGUGGCAGUGGCAUCGAUGGAGCGCAGAGCAAUGUAAACCAGUCAAGGAUCCGUAG